CGAGAUUCCCCCAGUAGCGGCGAGCGAACGGGGAGGAGCCCAGAGCCUGAAUCAGUGUGUGUGUUAGUGGAAGCGUCUGGAAAGGCGCGCGAUACAGGGUGACAGCCCCGUACACAAAAAUGCACAUGCUGUGAGCUCGAUGAGUAGGGCGGGACACGUGGUAUCCUGUCUGAAUAUGGGGGGACCAUCCUCCAAGGCUAAAUACUCCUGACUGACCGAUAGUGAACCAGUACCGUGAGGGAAAGGCGAAAAGAA
RNAcentral lists this ribosomal RNA (255 nucleotides) under Escherichia coli. Its description in RNAcentral is "partial 23S ribosomal RNA". It matches the Rfam family "Bacterial large subunit ribosomal RNA", at positions 230 to 523 of the family's 2925-position model. The record is from RNAcentral. Lineage: Bacteria; Pseudomonadati; Pseudomonadota; Gammaproteobacteria; Enterobacterales; Enterobacteriaceae.